UUUUUUUUUUUUUUUUUUUUUUUUUUUUUUUUUUUUGCUUCCCUCUUCCACUGUAAGUUUAAAGGAGAACUUGGGCUUUGGAGUAGUUGUGCUGAUUGGUGUUUACAUACUAACUCUGCUGCUUCUUAGCUGUAUGGCCUUAGGCAAAUAAUUUAACUUCUAAGCCUCAGUUUCCCCAUCUAAAAAAUAGGGGAACUUUACAGGGUUAUUGUGAGAUGUGAGAUAGAAGGGGUAGAGCACAUUGACUGGCAUAAAGGAGGGGCUUCAUAAUUAGUUCUAUUGCUUUUUCUUAACACUUUCUUCUCCAGUGACAUUUUGUGUCCUUUCAUUGCUUUUUUUUUUUCUUCUGUUUGUAUUCCCGUGUCAUUCACUGAUUUAUUCUCCUAGCAUUGCCCAAGACGAAAAUUGUUGUCCUCUGAUUUAGACUAGUUAUUUCCUCUUUAGGCAAAGAGGAACUGCACUUUAACAUAUUAAGGCAUCUUUUUCUUUCAUUUGCGCACAAUGCUGAUUUUUGCAGUCCUAUUUUACGCCUUAAUGUGACAACUUCCUGGUUUUUUUUUUUUUAAACCCAGAACUUAACUAUUACAACAAACCUAGGCAAUUUAUUUUAAUUGGCAUAAAGAGACUGAAUAACACCAGUAACUGACUGUGGCUUUCAUGUGACCCUGGUUUGUGAUGAGCUGUGCUGUGUUUUGGGAAUAGCAUUAAUAUUUUCUUGCAGUUUGAGUUUAACUAUCAACGGUUUCCUGGCAUCUUUUGGUUGAUGUCAGACAGUAACAUUUUAGAUAUGGCAGCCUGAUUGUCACCUGCACAUUUAGAGACAAUUAUUAGACUAGUGGUUUUCCUUCUAAAGCCAAAGAGUUUUUUGAUAAUCUUCCUAUAUAUACUGUUACACCCCCCAGUUUUGUGAACACACAAUAACUAGUCUUAUGACUUGCGGUAAUGCUGAAUAAUACAUCUGUUGUGUUACUUUCCUAAUGUAUGAUCUAAGUUGUAUUACCAUUGUCUUAUGUUUUCCUUAACAUUAAAACCUUUCUUUUGUUUGUUUAAUUUUGUGUGUGUGUGUUAUGGAAUAUACUGUUACUAAUAAAAAAUUAAACAGGAAACCCACAGGGGACAAAAGGAUGUGUAGAUGGUUAAGCUUGAUGUCACACAUAUAAACAAGAGUAUUUAUAGCAAGGUUUAUGUUUAAAAUUGUGUUUAAAAUGGAUAAUUUAUUAAUGAACAGGAAAAUAAGUCUAAUUUCUUAAUUCCACCCAAAGAAAUAAAAGGUUGAUCCUCUUGGAUUCUAAAAAAAAAGAAGGUCCAUAUUCUACCUUUUUGCAGUUGAUUCCAGAAGAAAUUGGUUUAUAGUGAAUAUUCACAGUACUUGCAGGUGGUUUGGCCUGGAAAAUCUAGAUGAGUGGUUUUUAAAUUUAGUUGCUUAUUAGACUCAAGAAAGAAAUUUAAAAAACAAUACUGAUUACUGAGACCAGCUUUUCUAGAUUCUUCAUUCAGUAGGAGUAAGGAAAGGCCAAUGAAUGUGUAUUGAUAAAAAGGUUCCUGGCCGGGUGCGGUGGCUCACGCCUGUAAUCCCAGCACUUUGGGAGGCCGAGGCAGGAGAACUGCUUGAACCCAGGAGGAGGAGGUUGUAGUGA
RNAcentral lists this long non-coding RNA (1637 nucleotides) under Homo sapiens (human). RNAcentral's name for it is "HSALNT0358093". Lineage: Eukaryota; Metazoa; Chordata; Mammalia; Primates; Hominidae. The record is from RNAcentral.